GCAGAAAGGGGUGGUUGGGGGUGGUUUGGGCCCAGGAACACUGCCAUCAUCCUGCUUUGCCCAUUUUGGAUUUUUGUAAGCCGAGUUAAUUUACCAACCCUCAUGUUCAAUCGGUCGUCGGGUUUUGUCGCUUCAUUCUACAUAUGCCCCAAUUCCAUGAUGCACAGGCAUGCUUUGUCGCCUGCCUUUUUGCAACUGCCUACUCCGUAGUCAUAUAGAUUCUUCGCAUGCACAGCUCAUUUGAAAGAACACUGAAACACCCGAUUCGCCCACAAUAACCACGCUGCUGAUUUUAUUCGCUGCUUGGCUAUUUUAACUACUACUCUAGACAUCUUUUGCCCGACUUCAGUUUCAAUUUCGGAGCCAAGACAUAUUGCGAGGCCACGAGCCCAUUUCUCAAACGAUAAG
This 408-nucleotide small RNA is filed under the name Histoplasma capsulatum var. duboisii H88. Its description in RNAcentral is "Histoplasma capsulatum H88 hypothetical RNA". Lineage: Eukaryota; Fungi; Ascomycota; Eurotiomycetes; Onygenales; Ajellomycetaceae. The record is from RNAcentral.